UAGGGAAUCUUCCGCAAUGGACGCAAGUCUGACGGAGCAACGCCGCGUGAGUGAAGAAGGAUUUCGGUUCGUAAAACUCUGUUGUUAGAGAAGAACAGCGCAUAGAGUAACUGUUAUGCGUGUGACGGUAUCUAACCAGAAAGCCACGGCUAACUACGUGCCAGCAGCCGCGGUAAUACGUAGGUGGCAAGCGUUGUCCGGAUUUAUUGGGCGUAAAGCGGGCGCAGGCGGUCAAUUAAGUCUGAUGUGAAAGCCCCCGGCUCAACCGGGGAGGGUCAUUGGAAACUGGUUGACUUGAGUGCAGAAGAGGAGAGUGGAAUUCCAUGUGUAGCGGUGAGAUGCGUAGAUAUAUGGAGGAACACCAGUGGCGAAGGCGACUCUCUGGUCUGUAACUGACGCUGAGGCUCGAAAGCGUGGGUAGCAAACAGG
Molecule: ribosomal RNA, 429 nt
Filed under: Bacteroidota bacterium
Lineage: Bacteria; Pseudomonadati; Bacteroidota
Description: Bacteroidetes bacterium partial 16S ribosomal RNA
Rfam family: Bacterial small subunit ribosomal RNA
Source: RNAcentral